This is an RNA transcript of Phycodurus eques (leafy seadragon), 5246 nucleotides long. It is a transcript of the gene named intraflagellar transport protein 88 homolog, with no coding region annotated. The transcript is spliced from 25 exons. Lineage: Eukaryota; Metazoa; Chordata; Actinopteri; Syngnathiformes; Syngnathidae. The record is from RefSeq and is a predicted model, not a curated record.
UCAUUAUUUGCGGGUUUUUUCCCUUUUUAUGGUCUGGCUCGGACCACUGUACUCUCUCUCUGUGUACACACAAACGCUUGCGUGCGCACACGCACGCUCAUAUACAUACAUAGGCAGGCUGUUUGCAUCACUAAGGAUCUCGGUAGAUUGAAGAGGGUUUAUACUGAUGACAUCAUAAAGACGGCCACGCUUCCUCUGACUGCUUUAUUAAAUAUUCAAUUAUAUAUUGGCGUUGAACUGAAUGUCUCGCAACACUGCUGUCGGCUUCAUUAAAAGCACUGUAAAGAGACAAAUGAACAAUCGGCAUUUGAGCAUGAAGGAGGAUGACCUCUAUUCAGGCUACAAUGACUAUAAUCCACUUUUUGACUGCAAGGAGUUGGAGAAUGAUGUCAGCUUCCAAGAAGCAAUCAAGAGCAGUCAUGGAAAAAGAGCACAUUUGCAACCAAGUAGUGGACAUUUUGCUGACUCGACCACAGGGGGUCGACCUUUAACUUCUUCUUCUGGAUCUCAUACUCCCAUGCCUUCAUCAGUGAGUCGACCAAUAACAGCAGCUGCGCAGCAGAGUGGAGCAGCUCGUCCCAUAUCUGCAAUUAGUGCUGCAGGUUAUUCCUCUUCUCCCACACGAUGCCCAACCUUUGAUCCUCUGGGCCAGUCCAGAGGUCCCGCACCCCCACUGGAAGAAAAGAAAGACGACACGCCCGAAGAGAAGAUCAAACUCUUGGAGAAGAAAGUGAACGACUUGAUCACAGAGAGCUGCAUGGCGCAAAGCAUGGGCAACUCACAACUGGCUCUGGAGAAGGCCAGAGAGGCUGAGAGGAUGGAGCGAGCGCUAGAGAGGCAGAGGGAGCAGUCCGGAAACGCUGAACAAAUCAACGUAGAUCUCACCUACGCUGUUUUGCUCAACCUGGCUAACCAGUAUGAAAACCAUGAGAUGUACCCUGAGGCUCUGAGCAGCUACCAACUUAUCAUCAAGAACAAGAUGUUCACCAACGCAGGACGUCUGAAGGUGAACAUGGCCAACAUCUGGGUGAAGCAAAAGAACUACCCCAAGGCCAUCAAGUUGUACCGCAUGGCGCUGGACCACAUCUCGGACGACUACAAGGAGAUGAGGAUCAAGAUCAUGCAGAACAUCGGCACGGUCUUCGUGCUGCUGGGCCAGUACUCGGACGCCGCCGCGUCCUUCGAGCACAUCAUGAGCAAGAGCGCCAACGUCAGGACCGGCUACAACCUGGUCCUCUGCUACUAUGCCACCCGGGACGCCGACGGCAUGAAGAACGCCUUCCACAAGCUCCUCGCCGUGCCCCUCGACGUGCAGCACGAAGACAAGUACAUCGCCGGCAACGAUGACAUCAAAUCCAACAUGUUGAUGGAGGUCAUCAAGAAUGACAAGCUUCACCAAAUGGAGAGAGACUUGAAAGCGCGUGCUGAGAAGUACGUCAUGACCUCCGCCAAGCUCAUCGCUCCAGCCAUAGAGGCUUCUUUCGCCGCCGGAUUUGACUGGUGUGUGGCCUUGGUGAAGAACUCUCCGUAUGCGGAGCUGGCCAACGACCUGCAAUUAAAAAAGGCCAUGACCUUCUUCAGACAGAUGCACUUCGACCAGGCCAUGAAAAUCCUGAAGGAGGUUGCCAAGCAGGACAGCAGAGUUAAAAGCGCCGCGGCCAACAAUCUUGCCAGCCUCUUCAUCCUGGAGAAAGACUACGAGCAGGCGGAGCGCUACGCUGACCUGGCCAUGAACGCAGACCGCUACAACCCGGGAGCCUUUGUGUGUAAGGGCAACGCAGAGUUUGUCAAGCAUGACUACGUCAAGGCGGCUGAGUUCUUCAAGGAGGCACUGAGGAACGACUCCUCCUGCACCGAAGCCCUCAGGAACCUGGGUCUGACGUACAAGAAGCUGAAUCGUCUGGAGGACGCGCUGGACUGCUUCCUGAAGCUCCACACCAUCCUCAGGGACAGCGCCGAGGUCAUGUAUCAGCUGGCCGACAUCUACGAGCUCCUGGAGGACCCUCAUCAGGCGGUGGAGUGGCUAAUGCAGGUCAUCAGCGUGGUCCCCAACGACCCCAAGGCUCUGGCCAAGCUGGCAGAUCUGCACGACUUGGAGGGGGACAAGUCGCAGGCUUUGCAUUACUACUGCGAGAUAGGGCUUAUUCCCAACACAGUCUACAUAAUCACGAUCAUGGCGAUGAUGAUGAUGUCACUUCCUGGGCAGUCCUUCAGGCUGUUCCCCUGCAACAUGGAGGUGAUCGAGUGGUUGGCUGCCUACUACGUGCAGACGCAGCUCUACGAGAAGGCCAUUCACUACUUUGACAGAGCCAUACUCGUGCAACCGAGUGAGGUGAGGUGGCAGCUGAUGGUGGCCAGCUGUUACAGGAGAAGCGGUCAGAAAGAAACAGUCAGAAAGCUCUGGAAACCUACAAAGAAAUUCACCGCAAGUUUCCCGAAGAUGCGCAAUGUAAUUCAUCUUGUUUCAGCUUUAAAACGGCGUCAUGGAGAACAACAACCGAAUGUUUAUUUGCGUGUGUCGAGGUCUUCGCUUCCUGGUGCGGCUGUGUCAGGACAUGGGCCUCAAGGAAGUCCACGACUACGCCAGCAAACUCAAGAAGCUGGAAAAGAUGAAGGACCUCCGGGAACAGAGAGCAAAAGCAGAGCAGGACGGAAGUACAAGAAGCCGAAGAAUAGACAGCGCGGCCUCUCCUACGGAGAGCACGCCGAGUGUUCCCAAAGGCGAGCGUGCGGUUGUCCCUGUGAUGUCACUUCCUGCCUCCAGCGAGGCUUACGAGAGCAGCAGCAGCCCCAAAGAACUGGACGCGUCCUACGUGGACCCGCUGGGCCCCCUCGCCGAUCCGCCCCGAACCGGCGCCAAGAAGCAGGUGGACGACGACGUCUUCGCCGGAGAGGACCUCGGAGACGAGCUGCUGCCUGAGUAGAAAAUGCCAACACCGUGUUGUUUGCAGAUGACACCACUGUCAUCGGCCUCAUCAAGGACUGUGACGAGUCUGCAUAUCGACAGGAAGUGGAGCGGCUGGAGCUGCGAUGCGGCUGACACAACCUGGAGCUGAACACGUUCAAGACUGUAGAGAUGAUCGUGGACUUCAGGAGGCACCCUUUGCCACAGCUGCCCCUCACGCUGUCCAGCUGCCUUGUGUCUCUCAGGACCUGAAGUGGGCGAUCAACAUCAACUCUGUCCUGAAAAAAGCCCAGCAGAGUAUGUACUUCCUGCGGCUUCUGAGAAAGCACGGCCUGCCACAGGAGCUGCUGAGGCAGUUCUACACAGCGGUCAUCGAAUCAGUCCUGUGUUCUUCCAUCAGUCUGGUUUGGUGCUGCUACAAAAAAGGACAAACUUCGACUGCAACGCACAAUCAAAACUGCUGGUACCCCCCUACCCACCCUUGAGGACUUGCACGCUGCCAGAACUAAGACAAGAGCCUGCAAAAUCCUCUCGAAACCGCCACAUCCCGGUCACCAGCUCCUUCCCUCAGCAACCUGGAUGUUCUGGAUGGCUCUGCCUCCUUCACCCCCUUUCGGCCAAUCAACAGGAGAGCAGCGGCGACGGGUAGUUGACGAAACAUCGGAAAUCGUUGGACAAAUUGCGCUCGUGCUGAGGCAGGAAGUGACGACACACUUGGACGUCCAGAAGAUCCUUGGCUACAUUCUCCAUGACGACGCCUGAACGCAACACAAGAGACUAAUGAUGCUAAGCUAAAUGCUAACACAACACAACAUGUCUUGAAAUAAACAUGUUCUCAUCAUUGAAGCACAAACAGGCACUGUGCAACUUUCAAUAGGAACAUUAGCACUGAUGCUAGUGCUAACACAGAGAGACGUCCUUGCUGGUCCACCGACAUUAUACACUACAAAAGGAUGUGAUCCAGGGUUGCUAUUGCAACAACAAAGCUGCCAUUCUCCUUAUAACAAGCCAGUGUUACAUCAACGUGACUUUGGAGCUGCUAUGUUAGGGUAAUGUUCUUUAAUCAGUUCAAAUGAGUGGAACUGUCAUCCCUCUGACCUGUGCACAGCAGCACUUUUCCUUUGCUGAGGUACUUGACGGUCUGGGCCACUUUGGUGAGACACUCCUCGGAGAGGUAGGGCGGGUCGGCCAGGACCAUGUCAAAGCUGCCGGGCGCCACGCCGCGCUCCGCCAGCGCCAGCGGCUCGUUGUAGUCGUAGAAGACGAAAUCGUCGCCGUAGAUGGCGAAGCGGCGGUCGUACUCCAAGAGCGCCACCGACACGGAACCUCCGCCGACAAGGCCGGACAGCUGCUUGAGCUUCUGGUAAACGCUGGGUGCGCUCACGCAUGCGAUCCUGCGAGCACAAUUCACACAAUUCACACGUAAACCUCAUUCGAAGUCUCACGUAGGGCUGGGCGAUUCGGCAAAAAUACCACAAUUUAGUGUUUCAUGUCUAUUAUGAAGAUUUUUUAAAUAUUAAAAAAAAACAAUUUUUAACAGCCCACUCAAGCAUCUGGUUGAGUACAUUUUGAGUCACUAUCUCAGUGUAAAGAGUGCCUAACUUAAGUUGGUUGCGCCAUGGCUGAGAGAAGAUAGACUACAAAAAUCCACUAGAGGUCUCGGUCACUCAUUAGUAUUCUGCUGCUUCGUCCGACCAGAAACACAGAAAUGAUUCCAGACUUGGACGGUUUAUGGUAAAACUUUGAAGGGCAGGAAUUGUUGAAGUGUUACAGACCUUAUUGAACAUACUUACCGUAAUUUCUCGUGUAUUGAUUUCCACAAAAAAUUGUCAAAAGUCAAUAGUGCGCAUUAUACAUAGGUAUAGAGGGAAAUGAAAACGCUCACAUUUUAUAAAUGUUUGCCGCUAUCUAGCGGUUAUGAAAAAGCUGUACACUUUCAUUUCAAUGUUACCGCCACCUAGAGGUUAUGAAAAAAGUGUAGCCUACACAUUCAUUCCAAUAUGACAGGGGUACGUAUGACUGCAUAUACUGUAUGUACGGUUGUGCUCUUUAAGUUUACAUACCCUGGCAGAAUUUGUGAAAUGUUUUUUUUUUUUUUUUUUUUUUUUUUUUUAAAUAUGACUGAACAACAACCAUCAUUCAUUUCGUUAUGGUUAUGUUUUGUUUAAUGGUAAUGCUUUUCUGAAAUGCUUGACAGUUUAAUUUGAAUCCCAAUAAAAUAAAAUGUGUUUCGCCCAGCCCUUCAUGUUUUCUUUAAAGAAUUGUACACAUCUUACAAAUUCUGCCUGGGUAAUCAAACAUAUGAGCACAACUGUGUGUUUUCUCAUUUACUAGAUAAAAG